CGGGAAGCUAAAAAUAUUGAAUACAUUUUUUCGAUAGUUAAGCAAGUGCCUGUAGAUUUUGAGGAGCCCCUUUUGCCGAGAACACUGGACAAAUAAUUUAGACGCAACCAUUUGGACAGGCUGCACAUUCAAGCCAGUGAUUGACUUAAGAAGUUCGCCUGUGCUAGAAUUAGAAGCCUCUACAAUUGUCGGGAUCGAUGUCAUUUUUGCAAUAGGUUGUAGCGCCAACAAAGAGAGAAAUGCAUCGGUAUCAACUUCAUAUCGGUCAUUUUUUGUUG
Molecule: unclassified non-coding RNA, 278 nt
Filed under: Hevea brasiliensis (rubber tree)
Lineage: Eukaryota; Viridiplantae; Streptophyta; Magnoliopsida; Malpighiales; Euphorbiaceae
Source: RNAcentral